Molecule: long non-coding RNA, 360 nt
Organism: Schistocerca nitens (vagrant locust)
Lineage: Eukaryota; Metazoa; Arthropoda; Insecta; Orthoptera; Acrididae
Exons: 3
Source: RefSeq, a predicted model, not a curated record
CAAGAAGAAAUGAUAAUUUUCAUAAACUGUGUAAUGGACCAGUAUCAAGUGUGGAACAGCUGUUACGUGCCAACUUUCAAGUUAUGAUAGAGCAGUUGGAAAAGUAACACACAUGCAACUAGAUGUGAUAUACAAGGCUUUCAGAUACUGCUCGACCAACUGUGACUUGAGGGACGAUGUGUGAAACGUUUGCUGUCAUUUCUAUGGAACUGAUGUGGAUGAACCAAUAUUUAGGAAGAUUGCAAGGAAAGGUGGCGCGACAUUAAGUACACACAUAAAAAAAGGCAGAGGAAAGAAAAAAGUAUUGGAAGUUCUACUUGCGCUAAAGACACUGAAUGGGGACUGACUGAUAUGUUCUCG